gamma proteobacterium HdN1 is the source of this 240-nucleotide non-coding RNA. The record is from Rfam. Lineage: Bacteria; Pseudomonadati; Pseudomonadota; Gammaproteobacteria.
AGGUGCUUGUGGCUUACACGUCUUACCGAGCCUGCAUGGCGGGCGUGAGCGCAAGUGAAACGGGAAACUGGUGAGAUGCCAGUGCUGCCCCCGCAACGGUAAACAACCAUACCCAAGGCAAGUGGCCACUGCACAGACUGUGUGGGAAGGCGCCUUGGGCCGGCACAGGCGUGUAUGAAAAUUCCGCUGCUUGCGCUGAGGUUGUGAAGCCCGGAGACCGGCCUGAUUCUUUGGGUACAG